This 1234-nucleotide long non-coding RNA is filed under the name Sus scrofa (pig). RNAcentral's name for it is "lncRNA (ENSSSCG00030022786.1)". Lineage: Eukaryota; Metazoa; Chordata; Mammalia; Artiodactyla; Suidae. The record is from RNAcentral.
AUUGCAGAGCCGCACAGCUGGGGACCAGAUCCUCACGGUGAGAGGAGCUGCUUCGUGCUCACCCUCAGCCCAAGGAAGACUCCUGGGAGAACAGGCCUCUGACUUGGCUUGGAGGGAGCUGGAGGGAGGGUGAAGCCACACCUCCGUUCCAGCCUGACCCAGACGGAGCGGAAGGGAGAUCCCUGAGACCCUGCAGCUGCCACCAUGAGCUCAGAUGACCCGAGGGACCACUCAGGUAUCCAGCGCCUCUACUCUGUGGUUCCUCCUCGUGACCUAGAACUGAGGGCGGGUCCUCCAGGCUGAGUGAACCUACAGAGGAAUCACCAACCAAGAAGGGGAUCGAUAAGCGUCCUUGAGCUUAUCAGCUUGCCCAGGGGAACCCUGGCAUUAGAGUUAGGUCCCAGGGGCCUGUCCCCACAGCCUCCUUCUUGGCCCUCUCCUCAGGGAGCCACAGCCAAGGGGCUCCCUCGCUCCCCACCCGCCACCCAGCAGAUGGCCCAGAAGUGAGGCCAGGACAGCCCACGGGGAGGGGGGACAGCAGACCUGGUGGGGGUGGCCCCUGAGGCCCGGCGGGGCAGGGAGAGGAGGUCCACCAGCACCCCUGGAGGCCUGUCCUGAACUCUCCCUGGGUCCCAGCCCCCUCCUGCUCCCCGAGCCUGGGGCGUCCCCAGCAGGGGCCGUGUCCUCCAGCGCCCGCCCUGCUGGCACCCCCACAGCUCUGUGAGGGUCAGUGGCCCACUGAGCUGAACCUGGUCUGGCCUUGGCCGCUUCCCACCUGUGUGACCUGGAGCGACUCACCUGACCUCACCUGUGAGAUGCGACCAUUAUUGCCCCGUGUGUCGUUAUGAGGAUCGACGCAUCGUGUGUCUGUGCCCUGGGCCAGUGCCUGUCACGGUGCAGGUCCUCCCUGAGGGCUGUGGCUGAACCCCCCACCUGCACUUGGUUAGUUCCGGGGGGGGGAACCGCCCCCCUCCUGCAGAAAGCCCCUGUCCCCGCCGCCCUGCUGUGUUAGGACCCCUGCCUGGUGCUGCCAUGGCAAAGCACCUGGUUGCCAGGUGGGAUGGUCUCUGGCAGGUGCUGACUCUCCUGAUCUCAGAUACCCCUGCAGAGACCCAGGCCCUCAGUUACUUGCCCCACCCACCCCCACCCCAGUUAAUCAAUAUGCAGAUUUAGGGCUGGGGGUUCCCUCCAUGGGAGCCCUCGUUUCCUUUCUCCCUUAGUGAAACAGGAAAAA